RNAcentral lists this transfer RNA (74 nucleotides) under uncultured cyanobacterium. RNAcentral describes it as "tRNA-Ile". It matches the Rfam family "tRNA". Rfam says of the family: Transfer RNA (tRNA) molecules are approximately 80 nucleotides in length. Their secondary structure includes four short double-helical elements and three loops (D, anti-codon, and T loops). Further hydrogen bonds mediate the characteristic L-shaped molecular structure. tRNAs have two regions of fundamental functional importance: the anti-codon, which is responsible for specific mRNA codon recognition, and the 3' end, to which the tRNAs corresponding amino acid is attached (by aminoacyl-tRNA synthetases). tRNAs cope with the degeneracy of the genetic code in two manners: having more than one tRNA (with a specific anti-codon) for a particular amino acid; and 'wobble' base-pairing, i.e. permitting non-standard base-pairing at the 3rd anti-codon position. RNAcentral also lists the same sequence under 1 other name. The record is from RNAcentral. Lineage: Bacteria; Bacillati; Cyanobacteriota.
GGGCCAUUAGCUCAGGUGGUUAGAGCGCACCCCUGAUAAGGGUGAGGUCCCUGGUUCAAAUCCAGGAUGGCCCA